AGGGUUUGAUUAUGGCUCAGGAUGAACGCUGGCGGCGUGCCUAAUACAUGCAAGUCGAACGCGGGCAGCAAUGCCCGAGUGGCGAACGGGUGAGUAAUACAUAAGUAACCUGCCCUUUACAGGGGGAUAACUAUUGGAAACGAUAGCUAAGACCGCAUAGGUAAAGAUACCGCAUGGUAAGUUUAUUAAAAGUGCCAAGGCACUGGUAGAGGAUGGACUUAUGGCGCAUUAGCUAGUUGGUGAGGUAACGGCUCACCAAGGCGACGAUGCGUAGCCGACCUGAGAGGGUGACCGGCCACACUGGGACUGAGACACGGCCCAG
RNAcentral lists this ribosomal RNA (322 nucleotides) under uncultured bacterium. Its description in RNAcentral is "bacterial SSU rRNA". It matches the Rfam family "Bacterial small subunit ribosomal RNA", at positions 8 to 334 of the family's 1533-position model. The record is from RNAcentral.